RNAcentral lists this transfer-messenger RNA (85 nucleotides) under Bacteroidota bacterium. RNAcentral's name for it is "Bacteroidetes bacterium (human oral metagenome) partial transfer-messenger RNA". It matches the Rfam family "transfer-messenger RNA", at positions 289 to 374 of the family's 374-position model. From Rfam's summary of the family: Bacterial tmRNA, also known as 10Sa RNA or SsrA, is named for its dual tRNA and mRNA-like properties. Its role is to liberate the mRNA from a stalled ribosome. The record is from RNAcentral. Lineage: Bacteria; Pseudomonadati; Bacteroidota.
ACGAAAACCAAAGGCGAAGAUAAGCAUGUAGAAAGCAUAUUGCUUCCUUGUUUGGACACGGGUUCGACUCCCGUCAGCUCCACAA